This 652-nucleotide ribosomal RNA is filed under the name Epilithonimonas ginsengisoli. RNAcentral describes it as "bacterial SSU rRNA". Lineage: Bacteria; Pseudomonadati; Bacteroidota; Flavobacteriia; Flavobacteriales; Weeksellaceae. The record is from RNAcentral.
AACACGUGUGCAACCUGCCUUUAUCUGGGGGAUAGCCUUUCGAAAGGAAGAUUAAUACCCCAUAACAUAUGAUACGGCAUCGUAUUAUAUUGAAAACUCCGGUGGAUAGAGAUGGGCACGCGCAAGAUUAGAUAGUUGGUGAGGUAACGGCUCACCAAGUCAGUGAUCUUUAGGGGGCCUGAGAGGGUGAUCCCCCACACUGGUACUGAGACACGGACCAGACUCCUACGGGAGGCAGCAGUGAGGAAUAUUGGACAAUGGGUGAGAGCCUGAUCCAGCCAUCCCGCGUGAAGGACUAAGGCCCUAUGGGUUGUAAACUUCUUUUAUACUGGGAUAAACCUACUUACGUGUAAGUAGCUGAAGGUACAGUAUGAAUAAGCACCGGCUAACUCCGUGCCAGCAGCCGCGGUAAUACGGAGGGUGCAAGCGUUAUCCGGAUUUAUUGGGUUUAAAGGGUCCGUAGGCGGAUCCGUAAGUCAGUGGUGAAAUCUCAUAGCUUAACUAUGAAACUGCCAUUGAUACUGCGGGUCUUGAGUGAGAUUGAGGUAGCUGGAAUAAGUAGUGUAGCGGUGAAAUGCAUAGAUAUUACUUAGAACACCAAUUGCGAAGGCAGGUUACCAARUCUUAACUGACGCUGAGGGACGAAAGCGUG